GACGAGGGAUCCUAGCGUUGUUCGGAAUCAUUGGGCGUAAAGGGUGCGUAGGCGGCUAUGUAAGUCAGUUGUGAAAGCCCCGGGCUCAACCCGGGAAGUGCUUCUGAUACUGCGUAGCUUGAGUAUUGGAGAGGUGAGUGGAAUUCCAGGUGUAGUGGUGAAAUACGUAGAUAUCUGGAGGAACACCGGCGGCGAAGGCGGCUCACUGGCCAUAUACUGACGCUGAAGCACGAAAGCGUGGGGAGCAAACAGG
RNAcentral lists this ribosomal RNA (253 nucleotides) under uncultured bacterium. Its description in RNAcentral is "partial 16S ribosomal RNA". It matches the Rfam family "Bacterial small subunit ribosomal RNA", at positions 524 to 776 of the family's 1533-position model. The record is from RNAcentral. RNAcentral also lists the same sequence under 1 other name.